GACAGAUGUCAAACGUCAAACUAUUAUGUUUACGUUAAGAAACUACUAAAGAUUUAACUCUGUCGAUAAUAAUCGAUAGAUUCUCAAUUAAAAUGAAAGUAACAGUGUUAUCGCGUAAUUUUGAUUCUUCAACUGACUCGUUAUGUUGUAAUUGGAAGGUCCCUCUUACUCCUCUUAGGAAUGGAAAAUGGACAAAAAUCCGGAAAGCUUCGGUUCCGAUAUUUAUUCUUCAAUCGGACUUCUUUGAAUCUGGUGUAGUAACUGCCAUCAGAAAUCUUUCAGGAACACAGGCUAUAUAAAAUCUUGAUUCGACGUGAAAUUUGGAUUGAAUUAUCUAAGUUAAGAUAGUUCUUGGUAUAUUGUGGCGAUAACAUAAUGGGAGAAACUCUGAGGAGGUACAUAUUCUGGAGAUUUUGUCACCAUCGACCGCUUUAACUACGACUAGCUAUUGCUUGCAAGAAGACGAAGUGAAUACCCCAAGGAGUCAGCACAAAGAAACCGCAGAGGACCCGAACUGAAUGGUAAAUUUACAUCUACUCGCCAAGCUUACAUACACAUCAAUUCCGCGAUUUUAUUUUUAAAAAAAUUAAAAAGCUUCAAAUUCUAAGAAUUGAGAAAGAGAUUUUAUUCAAAACUAAGUAACUUCUAUACUUUUAUUAAUAAUAUUUUGAAUAAUUUCUUGACUUUACGAUUCCAAUUCAAAUCAAUUCAAAAACAAUUUACAACUGCUUCUCUAUAUUCACUUAGGGUUUAGUUGUUUGUUCACUUUGAAGGUAAUCCUUCCCCUGUUAUUUGCAGGGUCGUGCUUUCUAUUUACAAUGCGCGAAGGUGUACUUGAUGGAAAUAUGAAAACAUGAAAAUGUAAUUUUGGUGGAAAAUACGUCACAUCCAUGUUGCUCCACAGAAUUACGAGUACUGGGACUCAAUUUAAUAGCUUUUCAGAUCAAUACUAUUAUCUAGAUUUAGUGAAAAAAUUGAUUUAUAAAAUUAAUUCAUUACAUUAACGUAUUUAUUCAUCUAUGCGAAAUAAUAUGUGAUAUUACAGAACAUAUUUUUUCAUCCCCAAGGGGAUGUAUCAAAAAUUUAUUGACGGAGUCGAUUUUUUUUUGGUUACUUUUGCGGCUAUUGUGAACAGGACGCCAGUAAUAUCUUUUACGCUCGAAGAGUUCAGCAUUUAUUAUGCAAAUACAAUAACGGGGCACCAGUGCGCUUGAUAGAGUGCACAUUGCGAUAUUACGACAGUGCUAAAGCUCGAUUUGCAUACACAUUUCAGAUCUGACUUCGAGAAUUUCUUUUUUAUGUGUGAACGUUUUCUUUACACCCAUCACUUUUUUUGCAAUCAAUUUUAAAUGAUCGAGAGAUAAAAAAUGUUCAUUUUCAGUCCCAAUAACAGUUAUAUAAAUCGAUAGUUAAUUUUGGAACCCGUGAACUGAGUAUUGUUAAAAGUUACAACGAUGUACAUCAACAAUAACCUGUAGCAGUAAUAGCAGGAAAUACACGUAAAUUUUUAUAUCUGGAUGACCUGUCACAAACAAUAUGACCAGUUUUACUUUGCUCUGGGGAAUAAUAUCGUUUUGUGACACGUAAUUUUCGCACUGUGUGAAACCGUGUUUUAUGGAACAAACUUGGUAAUCUUGCUUUAGAUAUAGAUGUUGUGAAUUACAUCGAUAGAGAAUAAAUUCAAAUCAAUGGUAAUCUUAGCUGCAAACUUAGAGUUAAAUUACAGUAAUGAAACCACAAAUGUAGCAGCAAUUUGGCAGAUUGGCCAUAAGAGAACCACAUAAACCGUUACCUCAACAAUGACAGAGCUUUACUCUGCCCGCAAAUGACAUGUUGAGACCUCAACCUCCCGUCGCAACAUCACCUGGAUAAUGGUAUAAAUGUCAAUCAAUAUAGACAUUUCAACUAUAAAAGAUCGGCUUCAGGAAUGUAGCUGAUAACCAAAUAUUACCGGAAGGAAUUUAUUUGUCCGAAUUCCACCAGCUUUCAAAUUUCUCGAGUGUUUGUAGGGAAAAUUAGUUUUGAAACAGGGCAGGAAAUUCAAAUCAGUAACAAAUAAAAUUGUUAUUAUAUAUUCAUAAAAUGGCAUGAAACGGUUUAUAACAAAGGUUUAUACAAUGGUUUACUCGAAAAUUAAAACUUGUGGAUCAGAAGAAUAUAAAUAAAAAUUGCACCUAAUAAAUCACAAAAGCAUAAUAUAUAAAAGAUUUUUUUCCAACUAUUUCGCAUUUUUAGUUAUACAUCUAAAGCUCCCCACAACGCUAAAUCGACGUUUUUGGUUAAAACUCUUUAUUAUAGCUCUAAAACUAUAAGUGCUAGGACAAAAUGUGGUAAAUGGAAAUUGUUUGCAAUAAGUAAUAAACCAACAAAACGUUAUCCGUAAGCGAUUAUAACCCUGCGUUGAGAAAAUCUAAAAUUUUUUAUAUGUUUUAAAUAUAAAAAAUAAUGUAAGUUUUUUUAUUUUUCGUAAAAAUCAAUCAUUGGCAUAUUUUCCUUUACAACUAUGGUAAACAACAGGAAAAUGGCCCCUUUUAUAAUCCAAGCUAAAGGACGAUACGUGCUUCGAUUCAGGAUAUUAUAACUGUCGCCCUAGUGGUGAUUAAUACCCUGUGGUAUCAGAUAGCUACGUAACAGCGCAGUUCCAUGGCGAGAAAUAUAUAACUAAAGAUAACUUGAAACAGUAUCAUAAAAGUAUUUUCGGCAAAUAGAUAAAAAGAUAUAUGUAUGUAUAGGGGAGGUUUAAAAAAAUAAAAAAAUUUUAAAUCCAUUUCGGCAAACUAAUUUUGGUGGAGGCGCCGGGCAAACAACAUUAAUCACGAACUGAUUUCUAAUAAUUAAAAAGACAAUUUAUUUUCGAAUAAUAUUAGUUAUUAGAUUCUCUAGCACCCUUGUUUUGCAUUUGAUUAUCAAACAUCGAUGUUGCCCGUAAUACAAUCAAUAUAGUUGAAUGAAUUUCAUCCCUAAUAAAUGUUAUCUUUCAUGUUGUUGCUGGGUAUUUUUCGAUUUAUUUAGGUAUUGUUAUAACAAUUAGAUUGCAGGUAUUUCAUUCUAGGUUGUUAUCAAUUGGUAUAAUUAACCCCCGAAGCGUUCAAGUUGGUAAUUAAUCUUCCAUCGGUAAACCAUGAGCUUAAUUAAGUGGGGGUUUCUCCUUAGUAUAGCUACCUCAUAGGGGAAAAUUAAAGAUUCUAUCUCGUUUGUAAGAAUUUUAGGUUAAAAAAUAAAACGUGAUUAAGUAUAAUGAUUAUAAGUAAUUUUCGAUAUCAUGAUUUAAGUACAUAAACUAUAAGCUCUAAGUAGUGAACACCUAUUAUUUAGUAGUUUAACAUUAUUCUGGUUGUAGAUAUGCGUGUAAUGUGAAUCCUGCUUGAUAUCUGAUGCACGAGUAUGUUGUUACCGUGCACUGCACUGGGUGGGAUACUAAUCAACUCUGGCAAUCUGUAUUCAGAUCGGUUUGUGCUACAAAACACGCUUAACUUUUCAUUAAACUACAACGUAACGUAACUCGUUUGAUUGAUAUGUUUAGACCCGAUUAUCACUGUUGUUUCCAUCUUUACGCUAGCAAUAAUUUUUUUAAAACAUCAUCAAAAUGCGCCCAUAUUUAGAUUCACUUCUAAUUGGACGUUACGAGACAUUUUUAGCUUAAUGAAAAUACAUGUAGAAAAGUAAUAAAUUUGCACGUCCGCCUCACCGUUCCGCAUUUUACUGAAGAUAAAUAACGGUAGAGUUCAGUACUAGUUCAAAAAGUUUUCUACAGCAUAUAACAAAAAGUUAUUUUUAGAAAAUCAAUUCCGCUCAUCCGAUGAUUAAAUUAAUAACGCGUGACGCUAUUAUAAUUUCGCAUACAAAACAAAGACUAACCGUAUUCUGACAAAGAACAUGUCAUAUCUCCUCCUGACGUGCGAACUGUUGGCUACUACAUUUUCAGGUUUAACAGAUAAAUUUCCAUUCUUAUAUAUAUUAAUCGAUAAAUACCAAUUUCAGCACGAAACUAGCAUUUAGGUAGUUAUAGAUUUGAGAUGAAUCGGUUUUAAUAAACAAUGUAUUUCACAAAAAGUAGACAUAUUUAAAAUGAAUUGUUUGUUUUUAUCGGAAAUAUUGCUAUAAACGAUUUCGUUUUUUUAUUGCAA
Molecule: long non-coding RNA, 4127 nt
Filed under: Onthophagus taurus
Lineage: Eukaryota; Metazoa; Arthropoda; Insecta; Coleoptera; Scarabaeidae
Description: uncharacterized LOC111427226, transcript variant X5
Source: RNAcentral